AUAUUUUAUUUGUACUUUUUAUUUUGCUAAAUGUACCCAUGCUAAUUAUAUGUACCCAUUCAUGUAAACUUUUUAAUCAUAAAAUGUACUCAUUCUUAAAUAUACCAAUUUGUUAUAUGUAAAAUGUACCCUUUUUUUUUAUAUAAAAUCUAUUCAAUUUUUUUUCUAAUCCAUUUUUAAACUUAUAUGGGUACAUUUUUU
This 201-nucleotide long non-coding RNA is filed under the name Malus domestica (apple). Its description in RNAcentral is "long non-coding RNA (MDOM_LNC003681)". Lineage: Eukaryota; Viridiplantae; Streptophyta; Magnoliopsida; Rosales; Rosaceae. The record is from RNAcentral.